Oncorhynchus tshawytscha (Chinook salmon) is the source of this 1657-nucleotide long non-coding RNA. The record is from Ensembl. Lineage: Eukaryota; Metazoa; Chordata; Actinopteri; Salmoniformes; Salmonidae.
GCUUUUAUUAUCAAAUCGCAAUUUUUUUCAUCACACAACGGCAUCAACAAUGAAGCAUGAGAAAUGAUUAUGUUGUCAACACUGUUAGAAAAAUCAGUAUCCUAAUUUCUCAACAUCCUCUUCGCAAUGUGUUCUAUUCUUAUUUUGAUAUGCAGCAUAAUUAUUUAGUUAGAGUACAUAUGGGGAGAUCACCAUACUUGGUUAUGUCUCCAAAAAAGCCACAGUAUAAUAUUUUCAGCCACUCAGUCUGUUGAUUACCUCUGGCUGAGGGGAUUCUCGACUGGAAAUCAUGUGAUUCAAACAGGAAAUGCAUUAGUAACUUUAUAAACUGCGAAACCAAAGAUGUGGAAACAAAUAUGUUGAUGGUGUGAAAAGAUAUUGCCAUGUACUGUAUUUUUGAAGAAGAAAAAAAUUGUACAACAUUAACAUGUGAUUGCAAAAGCUCAAAAAUAAAUAAUAUUUGUUAAAAAAAUUGAAUAUACUCUUAUUUGUUGUUUGUCUAUGAGGACUAGCACCAUGGCAUCCACAUAUUUACUGUAUGUACAUACAUUUGUGAUCAUAUCUAAGAUAGUACAUUAUACCUUUAUACAGCACACAGUACCUACACAUAAUAUAUAUAGAUGGAUUCAUUUAGGGAGAUGGACUACAUGCUUUAAAGAACUGACUUAAGGCAUUGGAAAUGAGUAAGUAGCCUACGAUAGCUGAUUAAUUCCUGUUAUGCAAUUAUUACAAACCCCUCAGUAAUUCUUUAAACAGUAUUGAAUGUUAGAGAAUAAUUCAAGAAUGAUGUAUUCACACAGCAAAAACAGUAAACAUUUUGUGACAUGUCACACAUCUGAAAGCAAGAAGUGACCGCAACACAACCAAGUGUAAAAUCAGUUUGGAAAGAAAGAAAUGUGGGCAAGAAAAACCGAAGUAAUGUCUCCACUUCCUGGAAACAGACACUAUGUACUGACACGCAUCAACAUGCAACACACAGCUGUAACUGUAAUUAAGAGAACAUUAUUCAACAUGUCUGUCAUCUGUGUCAACUCUGGGCCUCUCAGGGGUUGAUUCCCAAUAAUCUCUCCUUUCCCCUGAAGCGUGCACUUGUUCACUACUCUCCACAUAUAUGUCAAAGCAUUGGAUUGGUGUAGGAUUGGUUUCGGCAUCCUUUUCAAAUCCUUGACUACAAGUGAACACUUCAAGAGAACGGAGAGAUUUGAGCGAAGCACCAGUGAUUCAACUCAGACUCCCAGUGAUUCAACUCUCAGGCUCCUUCUAUUCUACCAUAUUCUAUCUAGACAGUACCUUGCUCACUGUCCUUUCCGUACACUGGCAUACAUACAAUACUCCUCCUCAGGCAUGUCUACCUUCCUCCUGGGACCCUCUAAUAUUGUAAUCUGUCCAUACUCCACGUCCACCGGCUGUUGGGGACCACACGCUUCGUCCACGUGCCCAUAUUCCACCUCCACCGGCGCCUCCCUCUCCUUCUGUCUCAUUUCCUGCCUCAGUAUCCUGACAUCAGCGUAUUCCACAUCCUGGCUGUCACCCUUAACUGUGGAGAGAGGGAGAGAGACAGAAAGAGAGACAGAAAGAGAGAGAGACAGAAAGAGACAGAGAGAGAGAGCCAGAAAGAGAGAGCGAGAGAGCCAGAAAGAGAGAGCGAGAGAGCCAG